This 631-nucleotide ribosomal RNA is filed under the name Streptomyces sp. Ri2Pt_3893. Its description in RNAcentral is "bacterial SSU rRNA". It matches the Rfam family "Bacterial small subunit ribosomal RNA", at positions 387 to 1030 of the family's 1533-position model. The record is from RNAcentral. Lineage: Bacteria; Bacillati; Actinomycetota; Actinomycetes; Kitasatosporales; Streptomycetaceae.
UGCAGCGACGCCGCGUGUGGGAUGACGGCCUUCGGGUUGUAAACCUCUUUCAGCAGGGAAGAAGCGAAAGUGACGGUACCUGCAGAAGAAGCGCCGGCUAACUACGUGCCAGCAGCCGCGGUAAUACGUAGGGCGCGAGCGUUGUCCGGAAUUAUUGGGCGUAAAGAGCUCGUAGGCGGUCUGUCGCGUCGGAUGUGAAAGCCCGGGGCUUAACCCCGGGUCUGCAUUCGAUACGGGCAGACUAGAGUGUGGUAGGGGAGAUCGGAAUUCCUGGUGUAGCGGUGAAAUGCGCAGAUAUCAGGAGGAACACCGGUGGCGAAGGCGGAUCUCUGGGCCAUUACUGACGCUGAGGAGCGAAAGCGUGGGGAGCGAACAGGAUUAGAUACCCUGGUAGUCCACGCCGUAAACGGUGGGAACUAGGUGUUGGCGACAUUCCACGUCGUCGGUGCCGCAGCUAACGCAUUAAGUUCCCCGCCUGGGGAGUACGGCCGCAAGGCUAAAACUCAAAGGAAUUGACGGGGGCCCGCACAAGCAGCGGAGCAUGUGGCUUAAUUCGACGCAACGCGAAGAACCUUACCAAGGCUUGACAUACACCGGAAACGGCCAGAGAUGGUCGCCCCCUUGUGGUCGG